RNAcentral lists this ribosomal RNA (1522 nucleotides) under Lacticaseibacillus rhamnosus. RNAcentral's name for it is "bacterial SSU rRNA". The record is from RNAcentral. Lineage: Bacteria; Bacillati; Bacillota; Bacilli; Lactobacillales; Lactobacillaceae.
CUGCUCAGGAUGAACGCUGGCGGCGUGCCUAAUACAUGCAAGUCGAACGAGUUCUGAUUAUUGAAAGGUGCUUGCAUCUUGAUUUAAUUUUGAACGAGUGGCGGACGGGUGAGUAACACGUGGGUAACCUGCCCUUAAGUGGGGGAUAACAUUUGGAAACAGAUGCUAAUACCGCAUAAAUCCAAGAACCGCAUGGUUCUUGGCUGAAAGAUGGCGUAAGCUAUCGCUUUUGGAUGGACCCGCGGCGUAUUAGCUAGUUGGUGAGGUAACGGCUCACCAAGGCAAUGAUACGUAGCCGAACUGAGAGGUUGAUCGGCCACAUUGGGACUGAGACACGGCCCAAACUCCUACGGGAGGCAGCAGUAGGGAAUCUUCCACAAUGGACGCAAGUCUGAUGGAGCAACGCCGCGUGAGUGAAGAAGGCUUUCGGGUCGUAAAACUCUGUUGUUGGAGAAGAAUGGUCGGCAGAGUAACUGUUGUCGGCGUGACGGUAUCCAACCAGAAAGCCACGGCUAACUACGUGCCAGCAGCCGCGGUAAUACGUAGGUGGCAAGCGUUAUCCGGAUUUAUUGGGCGUAAAGCGAGCGCAGGCGGUUUUUUAAGUCUGAUGUGAAAGCCCUCGGCUUAACCGAGGAAGUGCAUCGGAAACUGGGAAACUUGAGUGCAGAAGAGGACAGUGGAACUCCAUGUGUAGCGGUGAAAUGCGUAGAUAUAUGGAAGAACACCAGUGGCGAAGGCGGCUGUCUGGUCUGUAACUGACGCUGAGGCUCGAAAGCAUGGGUAGCGAACAGGAUUAGAUACCCUGGUAGUCCAUABUGGGUGGAUGGAUGAUGCUAGGUGUUGGAGGGUUUCCGCCCUUCAGUGCCGCAGCUAACGCAUUAAGCAUUCCGCCUGGGGAGUACGACCGCAAGGUUGAAACUCAAAGGAAUUGACGGGGGCCCGCACAAGCGGUGGAGCAUGUGGUUUAAUUCGAAGCAACGCGAAGAACCUUACCAGGUCUUGACAUCUUUUGAUCACCUGAGAGAUCAGGUUUCCCCUUCGGGGGCAAAAUGACAGGUGGUGCAUGGUUGUCGUCAGCUCGUGUCGUGAGAUGUUGGGUUAAGUCCCGCAACGAGCGCAACCCUUAUGACUAGUUGCCAGCAUUUAGUUGGGCACUCUAGUAAGACUGCCGGUGACAAACCGGAGGAAGGUGGGGAUGACGUCAAAUCAUCAUGCCCCUUAUGACCUGGGCUACACACGUGCUACAAUGGAUGGUACAACGAGUUGCGAGACCGCGAGGUCAAGCUAAUCUCUUAAAGCCAUUCUCAGUUCGGACUGUAGGCUGCAACUCGCCUACACGAAGUCGGAAUCGCUAGUAAUCGCGGAUCAGCACGCCGCGGUGAAUACGUUCCCGGGCCUUGUACACACCGCCCGUCACACCAUGAGAGUUUGUAACACCCGAAGCCGGUGGCGUAACCCUUUUAGGGAGCGAGCCGUCUAAGGUGGGACAAAUGAUUAGGGUGAAGUCGUAACAAGGUAAACC